UACGGGGGGAGCAAGCGUUGUUCGGAUUUACUGGGCGUAAAGGGCGCGUAGGCGGCGUGACAAGUCACUUGUGAAAUCUCCGGGCUUAACUCGGAACGGUCAAGUGAUACUGUCGUGCUAGAGUACAGAAGGGGCAACUGGAAUUCUCGGUGUAGCGGUGAAAUGCGUAGAUAUCGAGAGGAACACCGGUGGCGAAGGCGGGUCUCUGGGCAGUAACUGACGCUGAGGAGCGAAAGCGUGGGGAGCGAACAGG
RNAcentral lists this ribosomal RNA (253 nucleotides) under uncultured bacterium. Its description in RNAcentral is "partial 16S ribosomal RNA". It matches the Rfam family "Bacterial small subunit ribosomal RNA", at positions 524 to 776 of the family's 1533-position model. The record is from RNAcentral.